This 96-nucleotide small RNA is filed under the name Sinorhizobium meliloti 2011. Its description in RNAcentral is "putative ncRNA". The record is from RNAcentral. Lineage: Bacteria; Pseudomonadati; Pseudomonadota; Alphaproteobacteria; Hyphomicrobiales; Rhizobiaceae.
AAACGAUGUGCUGGUAGACCAUACAAUCGCUGCGUCCAAUUUAUCGGACAUGCACCUGCAAUACUCCGUUCUUUUUUCGGUCGUCAGCUGAGCUGU